Non-coding RNA from Potamilus streckersoni, 65 nucleotides. NCBI's taxonomy places the organism in Eukaryota, Metazoa, Mollusca, Bivalvia, Unionida, Unionidae. The record is from the annotation of a GenBank genome assembly.
GAGGUCUAGUGGUUAGAGCGUCCGCCUCAGAUGCGGGAGGUCGUGGGUUCUAUCCCCGGUCAUCA